This 446-nucleotide ribosomal RNA is filed under the name uncultured bacterium. RNAcentral's name for it is "partial 16S ribosomal RNA". It matches the Rfam family "Bacterial small subunit ribosomal RNA", at positions 338 to 795 of the family's 1533-position model. The record is from RNAcentral.
CCUACGGGAGGCAGCAGUCGAGAAUCAUUCACAAUGGGGGAAACCCUGAUGGUGCGACGCCGCGUGGGGGAAUGAAGGUCUUCGGAUUGUAAACCCCUGUCAUGUGGGAGCAAAUUAAAAAGAUAGUACCACAAGAGGAAGAGACGGCUAACUCUGUGCCAGCAGCCGCGGUAAUACAGAGGUCUCAAGCGUUGUUCGGAAUCACUGGGCGUAAGGCGUGCGUAGGCUGUUUCGUAAGUCGUGUGUGAAAGGCGCGGGCUCAACCCGCGGAUGGCACAUGAUACUGCGAGACUAGAGUAAUGGAGGGGGAACCGGAAUUCUCGGUGUAGCAGGGAAAUGCGUAGAUAUCGAGAGGAACACUCGUGGCGAAGGCGGGUUCCUGGACAUUAACUGACGCUGAGGCACGAAGGCCAGGGGAGCGAAAGGGAUUAGAUACCCCUGUAGUC